AGUUUACCCAUAAAUAGGUAGAUUAUUUACCCAUAUUUGGGUUUCGUAUCCAUUACCAAUAAUAUGGGUAAAGUUUACCAAUAAAUAUUGGUAAAAUUCACCCAUAUUCUUGAUGAAGUGACUUUACUCAUAUAUGGGUAAAGACUGUUUACCCAUAUUUGGAUGAAAAAAAUAAUAUUUUCUAGAGGCAGCACCGAAAUCGGCCAUUCGCUCGGUUCAUCAAAAAUAAAACAAUUGUUUUAGUUAACUAUUCUCGGAAUUAUUGGAGAACGUUGAGGCAAAUUUGCAAAUUACACAACGCCUAGGUGAAGAGGAAGCAGGUGACCUCUGAACAGAAAAAAAAUUCCUUCGAGGUGGAUUACGGUUGGAACCAGUUGAAUCAGCAGGAUUCUCUGCAAGUGCUCUCGUGUUGGAUUUAGCACCGCUCGAUGAGCUGAAUUUGAGCGUCUCAGUGGAACACGCCCAGCAAUCCACCGGAGUGCAAAUAAACCGGAGACGCACGUUGACCGUGAACGAAUCGUCUAGGACUCCGCUCCCCCUGAUGCCAAAUUUGAAUAGGCCGGCCGGAUGAUGCAAACCGCCCGUAGAAGAAGGAAGUGGCAUUCUCGUUGUAGAAGUGUUCUGUCUAUGCCUCGGCUCCCCCGAGAGCAGUUGAAACCCACCCGAACCAGAGUGGGAGCGGGAAGUAAACCGACACAAGUGGCUCAAGUCCGGACAUUAUUAGAACCAGGGAGGAGUUUGCAUCAAUAUCUGAUUUGUGCAUUUCACUCCCGGCCCUACCCAUCCUGGUCGAGAUCCUGGCCUCAAACGCCCAUACGAGCAAGCGCAAGAGUCGACAAACUGCAUCAGCUGGCGGACCCUCCGGAGCGCAUUGUCCGGAAGAAAGCAGGCGAGCUCCACCAUCAGGAAGCUAUUCGCGAUCCUUUCACCAUUGAUGUUGCUGCACGAUCCAGUCUUUUCCUAUGUAAAACGAAACGCCGACCCAAUCGUUAAAAUCAAUCACCAAAACCCUGCAUGUAUUUUUUUAUUAAUAUUUUUCUGUUUUAUAAUAAUAUUCGAAUAAACUUUUUAUUAAAUAUUUUAAUUUUAUUUGUUUUCUUUUCGAAAUUUAUGGCAUUUUAUUUAUAAGUAAAAUAAAUAAAUACAAAUCAUUUACUCAAAUAUGAGUACUAUGUACCCAAAUUCAAAGAACUCAUAUAUGGGUAAAUUCAACCUAUAUUGCCCGUAGAUCCAACAUACCCAAAUAUGAGUAAAGUGUCUUUACCCAUAAAAUGAGGUUGUGCACUUUUCGGCGAUUAUGGGUAAAGUUUACUCAUAUUUGGGUAAACUGACCUUAGC
Aedes albopictus (Asian tiger mosquito) is the source of this 1338-nucleotide long non-coding RNA. RefSeq lists it as uncharacterized. NCBI's taxonomy places the organism in Eukaryota, Metazoa, Arthropoda, Insecta, Diptera, Culicidae. The transcript has 3 exons. The record is from RefSeq and is a predicted model, not a curated record.